Molecule: transfer RNA, 74 nt
Filed under: Thermoleophilia bacterium
Lineage: Bacteria; Bacillati; Actinomycetota; Thermoleophilia
Description: tRNA-Ile
Rfam family: tRNA
About the family: Transfer RNA (tRNA) molecules are approximately 80 nucleotides in length. Their secondary structure includes four short double-helical elements and three loops (D, anti-codon, and T loops).
Source: RNAcentral
GGGGGCGUAGCUCAGUUGGUUAGAGCAGCGGACUCAUAAUCUGCCGGUCGCGGGUUCGAGUCCCGCCGCCCCCA